UACGUAGGUGGCAAGCGUUAUCCGGAUUUACUGGGUGUAAAGGGAGCGUAGACGGCUUUGCAAGCCAGAUGUGAAAGCCCGGGGCUCAACCCCGGGACUGCAUUUGGAACUGUGUGGCUAGAGUGUCGGAGAGGCAGGCGGAAUUCCUAGUGUAGCGGUGAAAUGCGUAGAUAUUAGGAGGAACACCAGUGGCGAAGGCGGCCUGCUGGACGAUGACUGACGUUGAGGCUCGAAAGCGUGGGGAGCAAACAGG
Molecule: ribosomal RNA, 253 nt
Filed under: uncultured bacterium
Lineage: Bacteria
Description: partial 16S ribosomal RNA
Rfam family: Bacterial small subunit ribosomal RNA
Source: RNAcentral